GUGUUUGCUUCGGCAGCACAUAUAGUAAAAUUGGGAUGAUACAGAGAAGAUUUGCAUGGCCCUUGAGCAAGGAUGUCACGCAAAUUCGUGAAGCGUUCCAUAUUUUU
Molecule: small nuclear RNA, 107 nt
Organism: Dipodomys ordii (Ord's kangaroo rat)
Lineage: Eukaryota; Metazoa; Chordata; Mammalia; Rodentia; Heteromyidae
Source: Ensembl